RNAcentral lists this long non-coding RNA (2300 nucleotides) under Bemisia tabaci. RNAcentral describes it as "lncRNA ENSSSA2NGG004300". The record is from RNAcentral. Lineage: Eukaryota; Metazoa; Arthropoda; Insecta; Hemiptera; Aleyrodidae.
UGCGUUGGGGUCCGGGGUCGGGGUUCGAUGCCGCUGCAGCUGUCCGCUUAUUUUUCAGCUUCGCGGAAAACCGGGGGGGGGGGAGGCUAUGGCGCGGCGUGGCGCUUUUCCCGCGGCUGCGGCUGUCGACCGGGCGUCGAGUGAGGGAUUAAUGGGGCUGUUGCACACUUUUUUUUUAAUUCAUUUUCGUAAAGUACAUGAAAAUAAGGAGACCCGUCUUUUUUCUUUUUUCAUUUAAUAAACUUUUAGGUAAGAAAACGACUUCCAAAGUUGCUGAAAGUUCAACUCCAUUUAAAACGGAAAAAUAUCGCGCCAACGGAUUUUGUGACGUCACAAGGCUCAGUGACCGCCCUGAUCCUUUCCAUCUGCGGAUGCUAUUGUUUAACAAUAACAAUACGUGCUGAGUGAGGUUAUGUCGGAAGUGAAAACCUAUUUUUUCUCACUGUUUUCAAAAUGAAAUCGUUUCAUCGUGUGGUGAAUUGUUUGUUCCGGGGUGCUGCAAUUGCAGUGAAAGUGGUGGCAAACUUUUUUUUCAAGUGCCGAGGAACUCCAUGAGGAAUAAGUGGUGGUUUGCUGUUGGACUGCCUCCUGACACUCUGCAACCUCAGACUAAAGCCUACUGUUGUGAGGAUCAUUUUAAUCUUGAAGAGGAUGUUGAAGAGUGGAGGCGGUACCUAUUUUGCAUUGAAGGAGGAUUGCCUACGUUCCGUCUGCGGCUGCACCAAGAUGUAAUUCCACAUCGCAACUUACCCAUCUUCAGUCCCAAAAUGCCUACUCCGAAGAGAAGGAAAACAGUUCUCCUCGACAGGAGCAAUUCUAUUGUGCAGACUGAAACCUCGUCUCCUGUAUCAUUGGCUAGUAUCAAAAGUAAUCGGUUCCAAGAUUUGAGAAGAAUUUCGAAUAUUCAGGAAGACAAUGAUUUCGCUUUGGCCUACAAUCCGAACCUAGUUACAUAUAGCCCCCACCGAAGAAACCGGAGGGACAGCAACGCUGAAAAUGCGGAUCCUAAUGAAUAUACUGAAACCUCGUCUCCUGUCUCAUUGGCUAGUAUCAAAAGUAAUCGGUUCCAAGAUUUGAGAAGAAUUUCGAAUAUUCAGGAAGACAAUGAUUUCGCUUUGGCCUACAAUCCGAACCUAGUUACAUAUAGCCCCCACCGAAGAAACCGGAGGGACAGCAACGCUGAAAAUGUGGAUCCUAAUGAAUAUGUAUGAUUUUUUUUAAAAUUAUGAUUCAAUUUCUCAUUAUUAAAUGACCUCUUAAAGUAUUCACAUGACUCACAAUGGAAAGGGAUUGGCAUUAGAAAUUCAGAUCAUGAAUAAUUUUUUUGUCUCUAUGGUUCUGUUGCGUGCAAGGGAUACACUCAAGUGAAUGAACCUCUCAAAGGUAGAAUCAUACUAAAAUCAAGCUAUGUUUUUUAUGAUCUCUGCAAAUGUUUAGUGUUGGAUUUCAUACAUGACAUUGAUCAAUGCAAGUCAUUUAAGUGUGGAAAAACAUUGAUUAUCUGUGCCUAAACAGCCAACAGGUCUUGUAAGAUAAAACAAACUAACAAACCUUUUCCCCCAUUUUUUAGAUUGGAGCCGUGCCCUCUACCCUGAAAAUCAACAGAGUGACUAGAUACGACCUUCAUCCGCUUGUACCUUCGUCAAAUCCUCAAAAUGAAGAUUCUACCACUAGCAAAUUUAGUGCGAGAAUUGCAAUAAGAGGAGGUAUCCCUGGCAGUACUGAAAAUGUGGAUCCUCAGGAAUCGGUAUGAUUUUUUAUUGUAUACAUGAGUGGUAUGGAAUGUCUCCGUGAAUAAACAGGAAUUGUAAAUGCAAUAAAACUCUCAACGUUUAUGUUGUACAGUGGUAAAUUGAACCAUCACUUCUAGGAACUGAAACAACCUAGAAAUGCAAUGAUUUAUUAGGUAACUAAGAAUCUCUUGGGCAUUCAGGAAAUUAGUGUCAAAACUGGAAAUUUCUUACUUUUAUUUAUUAUUUCAGGCUUAAAAUUGUCGGUCAGCGCAGAGAUUUUAGCUGAAAGAAGAAGAAAAAAUGAAUAUUUCAGGUCUAAAUUCUAUAAAAAUAUGUAGUUUCUUCCCCAGUGAAUCGACCUCUCAUAUAACUUUUUCACAUAGUAAUAGGCUUCUUCCUCAGCACGUAUGAGAAUCUCUAUCUUAGCAACAUUGCAAUUAUUACGUUUACCUAUGCUCAAAUGAAAAGUAGCCUGCUUGAGGGUCCUACAACUAACAUUCAAAAAUGGUUUUACUAUUUUUCUCAGUUCUAAUUUCUUUCCUCUUUUCUUCAAUGUAGGUUCACUCA